Molecule: long non-coding RNA, 1239 nt
Filed under: Numida meleagris (helmeted guineafowl)
Lineage: Eukaryota; Metazoa; Chordata; Aves; Galliformes; Numididae
Description: lncRNA (ENSNMEG00000020319.1)
Source: RNAcentral
CAUUGCUAAACCAUAAGGGACAAAAAACAGUGUUGGCAUAACAUUUUUCAUUAACUACAGUAAAAGCAAAAUGUACAUAUCAGUGUUACACAUCCUCUUCUUGCCUAAGGCUCUGAUUAAGUUCCCCAAACUUCCUUUGCUCUACAGCUUUUAAUGCACCACCACAUAUUUUUCUGCUAUCAUUGAACAUGUCAGAGAAAUAUCUCUGCAGCACACUAAAUCUAGGUUGAGAAUCAUGGAGACAACAAAUUUUUUUCUUACUUGAGAUAUAAAAGCGGCCCUGGUAAGGGAUUUUUUCUAGUUAACUACAUCCGUAUCUGAGAGAUAACAACCUUGGUUUUCUUACAGCCACAAGUACUCAGGUCACCCAAAGUGAUUGGUUGGUAAUGGUCACUGGAGAACUUCUUUUGCAUAAGAAACUAUCCUGAUAUGAAUUGGUACAAGUAGUAUGGCCUCUUCCCAUAUAAAUUCCUUUCAAUUUCUGGUAUAUGCUAUAUGUGCUUAAGGGAAUACAGCAGAGGAAUAUAUAGUCUCUGGGAAUAUACUGAACCACAAUAAGAAAGAAUAGUUCCUUAAUUUUUCACCUCACUGCAUCUCCAAAUCGUACAACACUUCCUUGACAGAAUUCCCUUUCCUUUACAAAAGGCCAUAACAUUUACAGUCCACUAUAACCGCUGGAUUGUGACAUCAGUCUUUCUGAAGGCAGGAAAACAGUACUCCUGACACAGACAUCCAGACUGGUGAGGACUGAACAGUUACUGGUACACCUAUUUGGAUAACAACGACAUUACAGAGCAGCUGCAAAAUCUGUGUUUAUGAAGUUCACAUACAAAUAGCCACCUUGGAGGAAAGAUGGCACACGGAUCUCCUCCUCAGCUGUGUGUUCCCAGAGGUUGCCAGCAGUACUCAGACAGCUGCUGACAGGAUGGCUCAGCCUAAAGAGAACCCUGGACAGCUGCACCCUAACCUAACACCAGUGAGUGCUGAACACAAAAGGUUACAAAGGGAUAGAAGGUGCCAAGAAGUGAAGCAACACUGGAAAAGACAAGAAGAAAUCCAGAGAUGAUAAUGAUGAUCUAGUCUGAUGUACUGCAGGAUCUGAGUGGCGUUAAGUGGGAAAAAAAAAAUCUAUUAAAAGAGGAGUCUUGGGAGACUAAAUGAAUACAGCAUCAUAUAGAAUGUGAUUCAGAGAUAAUCACAACAUGAAGGAAUGGAAAAUGUAAGCAUAUCAUAUGUAUU